CCCUUAGAUGUCCUGGGCUGCACGCGCGCUACACUGAUGUGUCCAGUAAGCACCUAACCUCUUCCGAAAGGAACGGGUAACCUUUGCAAAGCACAUCGUGAUGGGGAUAGAUUAUUGCAAUUAUUAGUCUUGAACGAGGAAUUCCUAGUAAGCACAAGUCAUCAGCUUGUGUUGAUUACGUCCCUGCCCUUUGUACACACCGCCCGUCGCACCAAUCGAUUGAGGUAUCUGGUGAAAAUGCAGGAAACCUCUGUGGCAUGCUUCAUUGCAAGCCGUAGAAGAUGAAUGCAUUUAAACCAGGCGCCUUAGAGAAUGGUGAAGUCGUAACA
RNAcentral lists this ribosomal RNA (329 nucleotides) under uncultured eukaryote. RNAcentral's name for it is "partial 18S ribosomal RNA". It matches the Rfam family "Eukaryotic small subunit ribosomal RNA", at positions 1470 to 1796 of the family's 1831-position model. The record is from RNAcentral.